RNAcentral lists this ribosomal RNA (445 nucleotides) under uncultured bacterium. RNAcentral describes it as "partial 16S ribosomal RNA". It matches the Rfam family "Bacterial small subunit ribosomal RNA", at positions 338 to 795 of the family's 1533-position model. The record is from RNAcentral.
CCUACGGGGUGCUGCAGUCGAGAAUCAUUCACAAUGGGGGAAACCCUGAUGGUGCGACGCCGCGUGGGGGAAUGAAGGUGUUCGGAUUGUAAACCCCUGUCAUGUGGGAGCAAAUUAAAAAGAUAGUACCACAAGAGGAAGAGACGGCUAACUCUGUGCCAGCAGCCGCGGGAAUACAGAGGUCUCAAGCGUUGUUCGGAAUCCCUGGGCGUAAAGCGUGCGUAGGCUGUUUCGUAAGUCGUGUGUGAAAGGCGCGGGCUCAACCCGCGGACGGCACAUGAUACUGCGAGACUAGAGUAAUGGAGGGGGAACGGGAAUUCUGGGUGUAGGAGUGAAAGGGGUAGAUAUCGAGAGGAACACUCGGGGCGAGGGCGGGUUCCUGGACAUUAACUGAGGCUGAGGCACGAAGGCCAGGGAGCGAAAGGGAUUAGAUACCCGGGUAGUC